GGGGGGGGGGGGGGGGGGGGGGGGCGCGUGGGGGUCGGACGGCAGCGCGGGCUUCGGCCUGGCGGCGGGUGGCGAACGGGUGCGGACUGCAUCGGAACGUGCCCAGUAGUGGGGGAUAGCCCGGCGAAAGCCGGAUUAAUACCGCCUACGACCUGAGGGUGCCAGCGGGGGACCGAAGAGCCUCUCGCUAUUGGAGCGGCCGCUGUCGGAUUAGCUAGUUGGUGGGGUAAAGGCUUCCCAAGGCGACGAUCCGUAGCUGGUCUGAGAGGACGACCAGCCACACUGGGACUGAGACACGGCCCAGACUCCUACGGGAGGCAGCAGUGGGGAAUUUUGGACAAUGGGGGCAACCCUGAUCCAGCCAUGCCGCGUGCGGGAAGAAGGCCUUCGGGUUGUAAACCGCUUUUGUUCGGGAAGAAAUCCUCUGGGCUAAUACCCCGGGGGGAUGACGGUACCGGAAGAAUAAGCACCGGCUAACUACGUG
Molecule: ribosomal RNA, 484 nt
Filed under: uncultured bacterium
Lineage: Bacteria
Description: partial 16S ribosomal RNA
Rfam family: Bacterial small subunit ribosomal RNA
Source: RNAcentral